CUUUGCUGGCGGCCGGCGCACGGGUGAGUAACACGUAUCCAACCUGCCCUUUACUCGGGGAUAGCCUUUCGAAAGAAAGAUUAAUACCCGAUAGUAUAAUGAUUCCGCAUGGUUUCAUUAUUAAAGGAUUCCGGUAAAGGAUGGGGAUGCGUUCCAUUAGGUUGUUGGUGAGGUAACGGCUCACCAAGCCUUCGAUGGAUAGGGGUUCUGAGAGGAAGGUCCCCCACAUUGGAACUGAGACACGGUCCAAACUCCUACGGGAGGCAGCAUG
RNAcentral lists this ribosomal RNA (271 nucleotides) under uncultured bacterium. RNAcentral describes it as "partial 16S ribosomal RNA". It matches the Rfam family "Bacterial small subunit ribosomal RNA", at positions 83 to 353 of the family's 1533-position model. The record is from RNAcentral.